CACCCCUCAUAUUCUGAUGAGAACCCUCAUGAAUAAGGUUUCCAAGAACCCAUCUUCUGAUGAGAACCCUUAUCAGAAGGAAAGAUGUUGUGGCAGAGGUGAAGCUGUACCAGCAGUCCAUGGAGAGGUCUGCAGGGAAGAGAGAGAAUCCUCCUGUGACAGCCACAUGAAUGAUAUUGAAGGCGAGCCCUCCAGGCCCAGUCAACCUUCAGAGACUGUAAUCUGUGUCAACAGUAUUACUGAAAUCUUGUGAAAGAACCUGAGCCAGAACCACCAAGCCUCAGAAACUAUGUUCGCUGGAGGUCCGCCAUCCGUCAGUCAGUGUAUGAAAGACCUAGAAGGGUCCCACUGGACUUCCUUGCCUUUCCCCCAAGUCAGUGCCUGGGCUUCUACCCCGUGUUGGAAUUCCCUGGAAACAGAUACAAUACUUCCUGCAGUAUGGCUUGACGUGCCCUGGAGGUCAACAUUAACUCUGCUGAAGCCCAAGUUUGCUAUGUAUCAGGAGCAGCAGAAACACAGAUGCAAGUAAAUCACCUGUGCUCCAUGCCUACUGCAUCCAGUCUGUUAACAUCCCAUUGGCCAAAGCGAAUCACAUGGUUGGGCUCAUCAUGAAGGCAUGGGGAAGUGGCCCUGCCCACAGUGGGUGGACACUGAGAACUUACUUUGCAAAAAGAAUGGAUACGAGAAAUAACAGGGUACCCCAGCUUAUCCUUACCUUUGUCAGAGGCUGGUUCAGAUGUUCUCGUGUCUGUCUAGUCCUAGACUUAAUCUAGUCUAGCCCUAGACUUAAUCACUUAAUUUAAUUUAAAGCCAAUUUGAUUAAUUUAAUCAUUUAAUCCCAAAUGUCCGUGCCACCUCAACAAAGAUUCUUUGCUUGAUCAAACUUCAGUCAGGCUCCUGAACCCAUCUGCGCAUUGCCUUGUAAAACCUAGUUUUAACAAGAACACUGCUUAGGUAGGUUGACUAGAACCACCUACCUGGAUAUCUGAUCAGAAGCCUCAUCCUCCACCAGCCCCCAGGUGAUAGGUAUCUGGUCACUAUGGCCCAUCUUCAGCAAGAAUCAGUAGGUGUGUUUAGCCAGAAUCCCCGUUACUCCUGAUGUGUCCUCUUAGUAAUUUUCCAUCCACUAAUCCUCACCCUGUUCCUUGGCUGUAACUCCUCACUUACCCAUGCUGUAUUUGGAGAUGAGCCAAAUCUCUCUCUCACUGCAAAACCCCAUCACAACCAUCUCUGUGUUCAUCAUAGCAGUCUGAAUGGAGACUGCCUUUCCAUGUGUAACAGGUGUCACUGGACCUAUUUCAUUCUUUAUCAUCCCCCUUUCUCCCCUGUAUGUCCACACUUCAAUUCUGCUGCUUCUACUUAUGCUCACAUCUCUCCUCAGAGACUUCCAAGACCCCACCCCCCAAAUAAGUGGGGUCCUCCUAUUUCCUUCUGUCAUGGUGCUCUUGGCACUUCUUUCUGAGUGUGAGCGGAAGUAAGUCCUGAAACCAUAAAUACUGAGAGCCUCCAAAGACCUGAGGAUUCUCUGGUCCAAGUUUCGGUUAGUAGUAGUUCAGAUAACGUCUCUGCAGAUGAAGGCCACACUUGUCCUGAACCAGCCAAAUCCUUCAACAAGAGAUGCAAGCGGCCAAUAAGCACUUGGAGAAAUGCAAAAAGUAAAACGAAAUGUAAAAGGAAGAAAUGAAAAGUUAAGUGUGUAUGCAUACGUAUGUAAAUGAAUGUAUGUAUGUAUGUAAGUAUACAUAGGGGACUUAGAUGUAUAUAUGCAAAUUUUGUCAGCUAUAAUUGUUCUAGGCCCUGAAACAAAAAAGCACAUUUGGAGCUUCAUAGAAAACGUCUAGCAACACUGAUGAAUAGUAUGAAUCAGAAGUAUAGUUAGGAUAGUCCUACAACAUGGUACUCUGGUUAGUUGUUUCUGAUUACUUUAUUUUGACGGCAAGAGCAUGCUAGUUUCAGCUCACUGGUGCUAUUUCUUCCCAAUGAUUAGUUUGGAAAAACUGAGCUGAGAGCAGCGUGCACAGACUCAGCUGACAGGAAACAAGGCUAACGAUCCAUUGUCGCUAAGAAACAUCACCCUUAAAAGAGCAACAAAUUACCCGUGUGCUUCUGGAAGCUGGGUCCAGGUGUUCCAACAGGGAUCAGUACAAGGGAACCCAGACUGUGGUGGAGGAAAAAGGUAGCCAUGGUGAGCAUGGACAUGGAUCUCUCUAGCAAAGGUGUAUGAGAGGAGUAAGAUAAUAAAAACUGACUUUGGAAACCCAUUGAAUAAAAUCAGUAUAAAUUCAGAAACUACCUAAAGAUGAAGCUACCUGCCAUCUUCAAGCCAUGGCCAGUAGACCUGAGUUUUCUGAGGUAACUGUGCAGCCUUGACCAAGCAAUCAAUAAGCAGUAAUGCCUGUUGGCUUUGGGGGCAAUGGUGUUUUGCAGGGAGUGUCAUAGCUACUAUUGUUUUCACUGCAGCCUAGCUGGAGGUGAUGCACCCUUUCCAAGAGAGAGACCCUCCUUCUCCACAGGGAAACUAAAGCUGAGAGAGGUUGCCAUCAGCGGUCUCCAGUCAGAGGCAGAAAGGUGAUAUAUCUAUAGUUAUGUUCACUAAGACUGCCUGGAAUUCGCAAGUCUUUCAUUUAUGCCAACAAAUCAAGAUUUGGACCUCAAAGCUUGAGGUGUAGACAGGUGCAUAAGAAGUAGCCAAGGCUUAGCAGAAAGAGGUCAGACAUCUCAACAAACAGAAGUCAGACAUCCUUGCAGGACAGAGUGAGCCAGAGCAGGCUGGACCCCACAGGAGAGGAUUCUGGAGCCCAGAAGAGAGGACGCAGGUCAACACAACUGUGCUCUUAACCGGGCUGGCCCCGCGACCACCACACUCUCAGCGCAGUCGAGCUGCGGAACCCAAGCUCAGGCCAUCGGUUCUUGAUGCAUCUCAGGCUUGCACACGCAGGAAUUCUAGGUGGUUGUCACAUCAACACAUUCCAUUAUUCUUAAAGCAAUCUUAUCUUCAUAAAGAUAUCUAGACUUGUUGUUGUUGUUAAUCCUUAGGUAUUGCUGUCUGUAAAUAGCUGCAUUGCGAGGAACUACUUCCUAGCUCUUGUCACCAUUUCCCGACCCCCGCUGUGCAAAACCAGGCGCUGCUUAAGUUUUCCCUUCUAAAGGAAGAAGGAAAGAACUGAGGAGGGGAGGGAGGCGGGGAAGGAGAGAGGAAGGAAGGAAAAGAAAUGAUAGUGAACGAAUUAAUAAUGAGCUGAUUUUAAUUUUAAAAGUGUGUGUAUGCAUGUGUGUCAGUGUGAUUCUAUCAUUGUCAGUAUGGCAUCACUGGGAUUCUACCAUCCAUCAAAUUCAUCCUAAGAAUCACCCUUGUGGCAGAGUAGUGUGGAGCUGAUCUAGAGAGCUACGACAGAACUCUGAGUUAGUUUCCUCUUGUCUUUAUCUAUGGGAUGCAGUUGCUGCAGUAAAUUUCUUUCAGCAAAAUUACCUUCAAAGUGUUUCUGAAAUG
This is a long non-coding RNA of Mustela lutreola (European mink), 3490 nucleotides long. RefSeq lists it as uncharacterized. The transcript is spliced from 5 exons. The record is from RefSeq and is a predicted model, not a curated record. NCBI's taxonomy places the organism in Eukaryota, Metazoa, Chordata, Mammalia, Carnivora, Mustelidae.